This 30-nucleotide non-coding RNA is filed under the name Cricetulus griseus (Chinese hamster). Lineage: Eukaryota; Metazoa; Chordata; Mammalia; Rodentia; Cricetidae. The record is from RNAcentral.
UCCCCGGCAUCUCCAAGCAGCCGCCAAUGG